RNAcentral lists this ribosomal RNA (442 nucleotides) under uncultured Aminobacterium sp. RNAcentral's name for it is "bacterial SSU rRNA". It matches the Rfam family "Bacterial small subunit ribosomal RNA", at positions 338 to 795 of the family's 1533-position model. Lineage: Bacteria; Thermotogati; Synergistota; Synergistia; Synergistales; Aminobacteriaceae. The record is from RNAcentral.
CCUACGGGUGGCUGCAGUGGGGAAUAUUGGGCAAUGGGGGAAACCCUGACCCAGCGACGCCGCGUGAGGGAAGACGGCCUUCGGGUUGUAAACCUCUUUUGUAUGGGAAGAAGGACGUGACGGUACCAUACGAAUAAGUCCCGGCUAACUACGUGCCAGCAGCCGCGGUAAUACGUAGGGGACGAGCGUUGUCCGGAAUUACUGGGCGUAAAGGGCGCGCAGGCGGUUUGUCAAGUCAGCUGUUAAAAAUGGGGGCUUAACCCUCAUAUGCUGUUGAAACUGGCAGACUGGAGUGCUGUAGAGGCAAGUGGAAUUCCCAGUGUAGCGGUGAAAUGCGUAGAUAUUGGGAAGAACACCGGUGGCGAAGGCGACUUGCUGGGCAGCAACUGACGCUGAGGCGCGAAAGCCAGGGGAGCAAACGGGAUUAGAUACCCCAGUAGUC